This is a long non-coding RNA of Oreochromis niloticus (Nile tilapia), 413 nucleotides long. RefSeq lists it as uncharacterized. Lineage: Eukaryota; Metazoa; Chordata; Actinopteri; Cichliformes; Cichlidae. The record is from RefSeq and is a predicted model, not a curated record. The transcript has 3 exons.
AAAACUGUUUGUUUGUACCCCCAUGCAAUGUUAGGCUAAGUGAAUUUAUUAUGUUUGAUCUUAGGAAGAAUAAUGGGACAUUCAUUCAUUCAUGGUGGACCGUGUGUGUCUGGUAUAAGUCCUGCAAUCAUCCAUGUCCUUUUUGGUGGCUCACCUGAAACAGCUACAGUUCAGAUUGAGGAUUGCCCUGAUAUUGAUAUCCGCAGCACUAUUUAGCUGCUUGAUGGCACUGCUGAAUUAACAGAACUGGAACGAAGAAAUGUUCUCGAGCUAGCCCUGACUUGGGACCUGCCAGGUGUCACACAAACCAAUAGAAAGUGGCUGUAUGAACGUCUGCUAUUCCACGCUGUCAUAACACGAACAAGCCGUCAAGUCAAGCAGCUGAGGAAAGGGCUUAAGGAGACCAUGGUAUG